GGCCGCCGCCUACGCUCGCGGGGUGAGGGUCGGCGCUGCCCCGCGGAGCUGGACGCGCCGAGUGACUGUUCUCGCCGCGUAGCGUAGGGGGAAAGUCCCUGGCUGGGGGCGAGCCGGCUCUGCCCACGGGGACGCGACGGGCGUCUGGCCAGAGGGCGUGUGAGUCAAGAGCCGGGCUGGGCCUGACUUGGGCACUGUGAGAUGCGGAUGGUGGAAGCAAGAGAUUAAUGGGCCCCUGAAGAUGCAUUUCAUGUGAUGCGGGAGGCAGUGGCGCCUCAAAGAAGGAGAUGAGAUGAGCAAGCCAUCAGCCAACUGCUGAAGACUACAGGAGAGGAUGGAGUGGAUUGGUCCUUGGACCCUCCAGAUGACACCAAGGAGCAAGAUGUUUCUAUGUGCUGGAACCAUGAAGGAGCCACGCUUUGAGUCGCAGGAGCUGCAGAUUGGGGUGGAGGGUGUGACCCUCGUUCUGUGACAGGAGAGAACUUUCAGCAAUAGAGGAAAUGGGGGAAAGGCAUAAAGAAGGCCCUUGUCCCAAGGAAGGAGGAGAGAGUCUCCCAUGGAGUGUCAACCAAUCCCUGCCCUGGAACAGUACUGUGGACACAUUU
Trachemys scripta elegans is the source of this 605-nucleotide long non-coding RNA. RefSeq lists it as uncharacterized. The record is from RefSeq and is a predicted model, not a curated record. NCBI's taxonomy places the organism in Eukaryota, Metazoa, Chordata, Testudines, Emydidae. The transcript has 4 exons.